UGGGGAAUAUUGGACAAUGGGCGCAAGCCUGAUCCAGCCAUGCCGCGUGAGUGAUGAAGGCCCUAGGGUUGUAAAGCCCUUUCACCGGUGAAGAUAAUGACGGUAACCGGAGAAGAAGCCCCGGCGAACUUCGUGCCAGCAGCCGCGGUAAUACGAAGGGGGCUAGCGUUGUUCGGAUUUACUGGGCGUAAAGCGCACGUAGGCGGACUUUUAAGUCAGGGGUAAAAUCCCGGGGCUCAACCCCGGAACUGCCUUUGAUACUGGAAGUCUUGAGUAUGGUAGGGGUGAGUGGAAUUCCGGGUGUAGAGGUGAAAUUCGUAGAUAUUCGGAGGACCACCAGUGGCGAAGGCGGCUCACUGGACCAUUACUGACGCUGGGGUGCGAAAGCGUGGGGAGCAAACAGG
This 404-nucleotide ribosomal RNA is filed under the name Actinomycetes bacterium. RNAcentral describes it as "Actinobacteria bacterium partial 16S ribosomal RNA". It matches the Rfam family "Bacterial small subunit ribosomal RNA", at positions 355 to 776 of the family's 1533-position model. Lineage: Bacteria; Bacillati; Actinomycetota; Actinomycetes. The record is from RNAcentral.